Molecule: ribosomal RNA, 443 nt
Filed under: uncultured bacterium
Lineage: Bacteria
Description: bacterial SSU rRNA
Rfam family: Bacterial small subunit ribosomal RNA
Source: RNAcentral
GACGAACGCUGGCGGCGUGCUUAACACAUGCAAGUCGAGCGGUAAGGCCCUUUCGGGGGUACACGAGCGGCGAACGGGUGAGUAACACGUAAGUAAUCUACCUUUGAGUGGGGAAUAACAGUCGGAAACGGCUGCUAAUACCGCAUAAUGCAGCGGCAUCGCAAGAUGACAGUUGUUAAAGGAGCAAUCCGCUUAAAGAGGAGCUUGCGGCAGAUUAGCUUGUUGGUAAGGUAACGGCUUACCAAGGCUACGAUCUGUAUCCGGUCUAAGAGGACGGUCGGACACACUGACACUGAAUAACGGGUCAGACUCCUACGGGAGGCAGCAGUCGGGAAUUUUGGGCAAUGGGGGAAACCCUGACCCAGCAACGCCGCGUGAAGGAUGAAGUAUUUCGGUAUGUAAACUUCGAAAGAAUAGGAAGAAUAAAUGACGGUACUAUUUAU